GUGAAAGGCUAAUCAAGGCGGGUGAUAGCUGGUUCUCCUCGAAAGCUAUUGAGGUAGCGCCUCGCGUCUAACUCAGGGGGGUAGAGCACUGUUACGGCUAGGGGGGACAUAAGUCCUUACCAAACCGUUGCAAACUCCGAAUACCCUGAAGUUCAAUCGCGGGAGACACACGGUGGGAGCUAAAUUUCAUCGUGAAGAGGGU
This 202-nucleotide ribosomal RNA is filed under the name Chaetoceros curvisetus. RNAcentral's name for it is "partial Bacterial large subunit ribosomal RNA". It matches the Rfam family "Bacterial large subunit ribosomal RNA", at positions 821 to 1020 of the family's 2925-position model. Lineage: Eukaryota; Bacillariophyta; Thalassiosirophyceae; Chaetocerotales; Chaetocerotaceae. The record is from RNAcentral.